CAGCCGCCGCGGGAACACCAGCAGCCCAAGUGGUGGUCGCGUUUAUUGGGCCUAAAGCGCUCGUAGCCUGGCCGGUAAGUUCCCCGUGAAAUCGGGUCGCCCAACGAUUCGGCUUGCGGGGAAUACUGUCGGUCUUGGGGCCGGGAGACGCCGAGGGUACUCCGGGGGUAGCGGUGAAAUGCUGUAAUCCUCGGGGGACUACCAGUGGCGAAGGCGCUCGGCGAUAACGGGCCUGACGGUGAGGGGCGAAAGCUGGGGGCGCGAACGGGAUUAGAUACCCCAGUAGUCCCUGUCUCUUAUU
RNAcentral lists this ribosomal RNA (301 nucleotides) under uncultured bacterium. RNAcentral describes it as "partial 16S ribosomal RNA". It matches the Rfam family "Archaeal small subunit ribosomal RNA", at positions 459 to 759 of the family's 1478-position model. The record is from RNAcentral.